GGAGGAAGGUGGGGACGACGUCAAGUCAUCAUGGCCCUUACGUGUAGGGCUACACACGUGCUACAAUGGCGCAUACAGAGUGCUGCGAACUCGCGAGAGUAAGCGAAUCACUUAAAGUGCGUCGUAGUCCGGAUUGGAGUCUGCAACUCGACUCCAUGAAGUCGGAAUCGCUAGUAAUCGCGUAUCAGAAUGACGCGGUGAAUACGUUCCCGGGCCUUGUACACACCGCCCGU
Molecule: ribosomal RNA, 233 nt
Filed under: Pseudoalteromonas sp.
Lineage: Bacteria; Pseudomonadati; Pseudomonadota; Gammaproteobacteria; Alteromonadales; Pseudoalteromonadaceae
Description: partial 16S ribosomal RNA
Rfam family: Bacterial small subunit ribosomal RNA
Source: RNAcentral